RNAcentral lists this ribosomal RNA (1259 nucleotides) under Triticum aestivum (bread wheat). Its description in RNAcentral is "partial small subunit ribosomal RNA". Lineage: Eukaryota; Viridiplantae; Streptophyta; Magnoliopsida; Poales; Poaceae. The record is from RNAcentral.
UAGCCUCCAGGCUCUGGCAAAUCGAUUCCCCGCCAACCUCCUCAUGCUGAUCUUUCCCCCGAUGCUCCGUAUCCAGUAUUCCAAUUUCUCUAGCCCGCGGGUCACACACCUCCAGCUCCAUUGGUCCACCCCCCGUCCACACACCCAGCACGGCAGCACCUCCGAAUCACCUCCACGUCCAGAGUGCAUUUCCAGCCCCGUCUCCUUGCAGUCUCUGGCUUGCUUUGAAAUUUGUUUGCGCCUGGUGAUUCCAGGCUCAGAGGAGUUGGACAUCCAUCUACGGCCAGGUGACCACAGGUUGUGGUUGAAAACACUUGGCUUACAAAAUCAAGUAAAAACGACAAGAUGGAAGGCCGGGUUCCCUUCAGAGAUAUUACAAAUGUUCACCCGACAACUUCACCAAAAGGGAACUAUUCUGUCGUUGGAGAGCAGAAUGAUCCUUUAGUUGAAACCAAAAAUGCUACAUAAAUGAAUUCUUCCCAGCGCAAGCGUUACCGUGACCGGGAUAGAUAUCUGCAAAUGACUCCAUAUCAGAGGGAAGCCUAUUUGCAAAGGAAUCGUGAGUACAAAAGAAUGAGGCGUGAGUGCAGCGCAAGUUGUAGCAAUACACAACCAGCACCCCAGCAGAAAACUACAAGAGCUAAUAAGAACAUAUGCAUGACAGGAAAGGAAGUCGUGGCCAGUUCAAACUAUGAGAAGCAUGAUUCAGUAUUUACUCAACUGGGGUCUUCAUCAAAAGGAAAACAAGUGGCGGAUGUUGGUGGUUCUGGCACAAGUCGUCCAAAAGCUGGAACUCGAUUCACCAUCAGUCCAUCUGGCAUAUAUUAUCAUCAAUAUCCUCGGCUAUAUGGAGGAUUUAUAGGGAUGCAAGGUUUAUAUCACCUCCAGAGGCUAUAUGGAGGAUUUAUUCUUUCAAUCUAAGUGAGAUGUCACCUCCAGUUUUGCAGUUACAGGUCCAGUUCCUUCCACGAAUUCCUCUCUAUCCUUCAGAGGAUGAUGUUCUCCCCUUCAAGUUCAAAAGAAAGCAAUUUCCAAUUCGGCUUAGUUUUGCCAUGACAAUCAACAAAGCCCAGGGUCAAACCAUCCCAAAUGUUGGCAUCUACCUUCCUGAGCCGGUGUUCUCUCAUGGCCAACUCUAUGUCGCUCUGUCUAGAGGGCUAUCAAGACAAACAACUAGAGUACUUGCAAAGCCAAAUAAGGAUAUUGACCCAUCAGGGAAAAGCACAAAAAAUAUUGUCUACAGGGAUGUUUUGGUAUAA